AGUGAACGCUGGCGGUAGGCCUAACACAUGCAAGUCGAACGGCAGCACAGUAAGAGCUUGCUCUUACGGGUGGCGAGUGGCGGACGGGUGAGGAAUACAUCGGAAUCUACUUUUUCGUGGGGGAUAACGUAGGGAAACUUACGCUAAUACCGCAUACGACCUACGGGUGAAAGCAGGGGAUCUUCGGACCUUGCGCGAUUGAAUGAGCCGAUGUCGGAUUAGCUAGUUGGCGGGGUAAAGGCCCACCAAGGCGACGAUCCGUAGCUGGUCUGAGAGGAUGAUCGGCCACACUGGAACUGAGACACGGUCCAGACUCCUGCGGGAGGCAGCAGUGGGGAAUAUUGGACAAUGGGCGCGAGCCUGAUCCAGCCAUACCGCGUGGGUGAAGAAGGCCUUCGGGUUGUAAAGCCCUUUUGUUGGGAAAGAAAAGCAGCAGGUUAAUACCCCGCUGUUCUGACGGUACCCAAAGAAUAAGCACCGGCUAACUUCGUG
Molecule: ribosomal RNA, 492 nt
Filed under: uncultured bacterium
Lineage: Bacteria
Description: partial 16S ribosomal RNA
Rfam family: Bacterial small subunit ribosomal RNA
Source: RNAcentral